AUGCUAAUAGAUGAUUGUGCUUACCCAACCGUCUGCGGAGAGUAUGGCAUAUGCACCCAGGGGCAAUGCGCCUGUCCACUUCAGAACAAUUCUAGUUCCAGCUACUACAAGCCAGUGGAUGAGCGGAAGCCAAAUCUUGGUUGCGCGCCAAUAACUCCAAUCUCUUGCGAAGAAAUUCAACAUCAUCGACUCUUGGCACUUACAGAUACUUCUUACUUUGAUGAAAGGCACAAGAUUGUGCAUUUAAACGAAGAUGACUGUAAGCAAGCCUGCUUGAAGAACUGCUCCUGCAGGGCCGUUAGCUUCAGCUAUGACCAGUUGGGUCAUAGUAGAUGUACCUGGAUGGCAAAGGUCUUCUCCUUGCAAGCAAUACAACCUGUAGCCAACUUAAGUUCCUCUGUUUACCUCAAGGUGCAGCUUAGGCCCUCCAUUACUGCAUCUACUUCAAACAAAACAAAAGUAAUGUUAGGUGCUGCAUUUGGAGCUUUUGCUAUUCUUGUAUUGCUUGUGAUUGGUGUCACUCUUUAUCUACGAGGUAGAAGGAAGUAUGGAGACAAAGAUGAAGAAUUUGAUUUCGAUCAAUUACCUGGAAUGCCAGCAAGGUUUUCUCUUGAGAAGGUGAGUGGAUGCACUGAAGGAUUCGGUAAGAAACUUGGAGAAGGUGGGUUUGGGUCGGUUUUUGAAGGAAAAUUAGGUGAAGAAAGAAUUGCGGUAAAACGUUUGGAAGGUGCUAGACAGGGGGAGAAAGAGUUCUUGGCAGAGGUUGAGACUAUUGGUAGCAUUGAACACAUCAAUCUUGUCAAACUGAUUGGGUUUUGUGCAGAGAAGUCUGAGAGGCUUCUGGUAUAUGAAUAUAUGUCAAGAGGAUCGCUUGAUAGGUGGAUCUAUUACCGCCAUAACAACUACUCUCUUGAUUGGUGCACUCGUUGUAAAAUCAUAUUGGAUAUUGCCAAGGGCCUGUGUUAUCUUCAUGAGGAGUGUAGGCGAAAAAUUGCUCAUCUGGACAUCAAACCACAAAAUAUUCUCUUGGAUGACAACUUCAAUGCCAAAGUGGCUGAUUUUGGACUGUGUAAGUUAAUAAAUAGGGAUCAAAGCAAGGUAGUUACUGUGAUGAGAGGAACACCUGGAUAUCUAGCACCUGAAUGGUUGACGUCGCGGAUCACUGAAAAAGUGGACGUCUACAGUUUUGGAGUUGUUGUCAUGGAGAUAGUAAGUGGAAGGAAAAAUAUUGACAACUCUCAGCCUGACGAGGAAGUUCAGCUCAUAAAUUUAUUAAGAGAAAAAGAAGAAAACAAUCAAUUGAUUGACUUGGUCGACAAGCAUAGUGACGAUAUGGUCUCAUGUCAGGAGGAAGUGAUUCGAAUGAUGAAGCUUGCAAUAUGGUGCUUGCAAAAUGACAGCACUCGAAGGCCAUCCAUGUCAACAGUGAUCAAGGUAUUGGAAGGUGUGAUGAGUGUAGAAACUUUUGAUGGAAAUUCAAUCUUGUUUGUUCAAGAUAAUCCAUCAACACAUUCAGUUCCAUCUCAAGCAUCCAUAUUAUCUGGCCCAAGGUAA
This 1554-nucleotide ribosomal RNA is filed under the name Triticum aestivum (bread wheat). Its description in RNAcentral is "partial small subunit ribosomal RNA". Lineage: Eukaryota; Viridiplantae; Streptophyta; Magnoliopsida; Poales; Poaceae. The record is from RNAcentral.